CCCACCGCAGGGUGCUCCGGUACCAGCCACGGUCUGGACAUGAGCACAAGGAACCAGCUCUUCUGCUUUGCCUUUAGUCUUUCCUUGUGUUGAAGAGUCAGACUGGCAAUAAAAUGCACUUGGACUGUCGUCACUGCCCUACCAUGAGGGGCCGCGCCUGGGCUGUCAUUUCUCCAGGGCCGGGACGUGCACCGCAGGGCAGGGACCCACUUAGUUGCCGCAGGUAACAGGGCACUUGGAACUACGGAAGAGCUUGUACAGCUGCUUCUGGUUCCGCCUGGCUCGUUUCCUGGGAAGUCCGUGACUUGCGGCCGUAGGACGGACACCUCCGUGGGAAACCAGCUUCAGGAAAGACUUGCAAGCAGACGACUGGCUCCACCACACGCAACCAGUGAAAACUGGCACGAGUCCGCUUAGUCGAGCCCCAGAAAGGUUAGCUGGUUCUGAAAGCAUGUCUGCCCUCAGUGAGCAAAUCUUUUAACUGGAGACCCCAGACAAGAAGCCCCGCGUCUGAGCUCACCACGCCCCCUACCGCCGGGCCUCCCUGACGACCUCACAAGCACGGGGGGCCCGGAGAAGGGAGCCAGUGUCCUCACCAAGUGUGGCUGUAAGCUCCCUAUCUGCCACAAAUUCUCAAGCAAGCACACGGAUGUCUCCGGAAAGGCUUUCCUCCUCGUCCCGGGAAAGCCCCAGCGGUGCCUCGGGCACGUCCUCCCCGUGCAGUGACGUGCAGGCAAUGGCAUCCCGUAGGAGGGCUUCACGGGGGUGUUCUCCGUGCUCGCCUUCCGACCAGUGCAACGAGGAAGGUCCUUCCCGGAUGCCCAGGCCCUGGUCCACGGUCCCACCCAGGGGGUACAGAGGGGACCGACAGGGUCUCUCCAGCCUCAAGAGGGGAGCAAGUCAGUCUGGGGUGGUGGGAGGGGUCCUCUUCUCCAGGACGAAAUGUCACCCACUCGAUUCUAUCACUUAUUUGCAACAAGUCAAGAAUGUCCAUCACUUCCCUCGGCGAUGCAGUCUGUGCCGGUGACCGUGCGGUCAGGGCCAGGGAGCGACCAAGCCCAGAGGGCAACCACGGCCGCAGUGUAGCCACCCUGUGACACGGGAGCAGUGCACUGCCUUUUCGUGAACACGAGUGAAGGGCAGGAGGUGGGAAACAAUCGAGCCUUUUAUCCUGUCCGUGCCAGGGACCCUGGUCAAGGCAGGCGCUUCAAGGAUGGUGGGUGGCUUUUUAACUUCGACGCACAAGGCAGCUUCGCGGUCGGAAUUCUGAUCAGUGAUACUCUAGAACCACACAGAUCACGAACAGCCCCGGAUAAAUAAAGGACAGAACUGUUGUUAAUCCUGUUUAUUAAAAAGGGUCCUACAGCUUUACAACCCCAGCUCAGGCCUGGCCCUGGAGUGAGGCCAGCCCUUCACCACAUCGACACCGAGCUCACGCCCUUGGCUCCACCCCGUGUGGGCUUGUGGGCGUCCCCCCACCGGCCUCGGGGUAGGCAGCAGAGGUACGGGGGGGGGGGGGGGGGGGGGAGGGGAGGGGCGGGCCCUGAUCUCCAGAUUCGCAAAACAUGGCAGGCACGCCCAGCCCAUUCGGCUGUGACAGUCCAGGAGAACCAUAUGCUAACUGAAGACACAGGUUGGUGGCCUCGCCUCUGGCCUGCUGCGACAGACCCCGUUUGAGCACUGCCUCCAGUCUGUCACCAGGGCAGGCGAGAGCCCAGAGGGCCGGGAGGAGCCAGGGGAGUUCCCAGAGCGUCUGCCCAUCCUGGUGCUGGCUUUCUCCAAAGCGUGACGCCAUGCUGCCGGACUCCCUCUGUCCCCCUCCCACCCUGAGGCCCAAUCAGAGGCAGAGAAUAUUGGCUACGAGUAUCCUGGUUCAAGACGGGACAGAAUUCUUCCACCUGCAACACGACGACCUUGGACAAGCCCCUCUGGGAACACAGAGCCAGUAGUGAGAGCUACCCCUCAGCCUG
This is a long non-coding RNA of Panthera uncia (snow leopard), 1970 nucleotides long. RefSeq lists it as uncharacterized. NCBI's taxonomy places the organism in Eukaryota, Metazoa, Chordata, Mammalia, Carnivora, Felidae. The record is from RefSeq and is a predicted model, not a curated record. The transcript has 2 exons.